Molecule: ribosomal RNA, 1410 nt
Filed under: Bacillus subtilis
Lineage: Bacteria; Bacillati; Bacillota; Bacilli; Caryophanales; Bacillaceae
Description: bacterial SSU rRNA
Rfam family: Bacterial small subunit ribosomal RNA
Source: RNAcentral
GCAGUCGAGCGGACAGAUGGGAGCUUGCUCCCUGAUGUUAGCGGCGGACGGGUGAGUAACACGUGGGUAACCUGCCUGUAAGACUGGGAUAACUCCGGGAAACCGGGGCUAAUACCGGAUGGUUGUUUGAACCGCAUGGUUCAAACAUAAAAGGUGGCUUCGGCUACCACUUACAGAUGGACCCGCGGCGCAUUAGCUAGUUGGUGAGGUAACGGCUCACCAAGGCAACGAUGCGUAGCCGACCUGAGAGGGUGAUCGGCCAAACUGGGACUGAGACACGGCCCAGACUACUACGGGAGGCAGCAGUAGGGAAUCUUCCGCAAUGGACGAAAGUCUGACGGAGCAACGCCGCGUGAGUGAUGAAGGUUUUCGGAUCGUAAAGCUCUGUUGUUAGGGAAGAACAAGUACCGUUCGAAUAGGGCGGUACCUUGACGGUACCUAACCAGAAAGCCACGGCUAACUACGUGCCAGCAGCCGCGGUAAUACGUAGGUGGCAAGCGUUGUCCGGAAUUAUUGGGCGUAAAGGGCUCGCAGGCGGUUUCUUAAGUCUGAUGUGAAAGCCCCCGGCUCAACCGGGGAGGGUCAUUGGAAACUGGGGAACUUGAGUGCAGAAGAGGAGAGUGGAAUUCCACGUGUAGCGGUGAAAUGCGUAGAGAUGUGGAGGAACACCAGUGGCGAAGGCGACUCUCUGGUCUGUAACUGACGCUGAGGAGCGAAAGCGUGGGGAGCGAACAGGAUUAGAUACCCUGGUAGUCCACGCCGUAAACGAUGAGUGCUAAGUGUUAGGGGGUUUCCGCCCCUUAGUGCUGCAGCUAACGCAUUAAGCACUCCGCCUGGGGAGUACGGUCGCAAGACUGAAACUCAAAGGAAUUGACGGGGGCCCGCACAAGCGGUGGAGCAUGUGGUUUAAUUCGAAGCAACGCGAAGAACCUUACCAGGUCUUGACAUCCUCUGACAAUCCUAGAGAUAGGACGUCCCCUUCGGGGGCAGAGUGACAGGUGGUGCAUGGUUGUCGUCAGCUCGUGUCGUGAGAUGUUGGGUUAAGUCCCGCAACGAGCGCAACCCUUGAUCUUAGUUGCCAGCAUUCAGUUGGGCACUCUAAGGUGACUGCCGGUGACAAACCGGAGGAAGGUGGGGAUGACGUCAAAUCAUCAUGCCCCUUAUGACCUGGGCUACACACGUGCUACAAUGGACAGAACAAAGGGCAGCGAAACCGCGAGGUUAAGCCAAUCCCACAAAUCUGUUCUCAGUUCGGAUCGCAGUCUGCAACUCGACUGCGUGAAGCUGGAAUCGCUAGUAAUCGCGGAUCAGCAUGCCGCGGUGAAUACGUUCCCGGGCCUUGUACACACCGCCCGUCACACCACGAGAGUUUGUAACACCCGAAGUCGGUGAGGUAACCUUUUAGGAGCC